This 926-nucleotide ribosomal RNA is filed under the name Mrakia sp. Its description in RNAcentral is "partial large subunit ribosomal RNA". It matches the Rfam family "Eukaryotic large subunit ribosomal RNA", at positions 40 to 961 of the family's 3401-position model. The record is from RNAcentral. Lineage: Eukaryota; Fungi; Basidiomycota; Tremellomycetes; Cystofilobasidiales; Mrakiaceae.
AUAUCAUAGCGAGAAAGAAACUACAAGGAUUCCCCUAGUAACGGCGAGUGAAGCGGGAUGAGCUCAAAUUUAAAAUCUGGCGGCCUCAGGUCGUCCGAGUUGUAGUCUAGAGAAUCGUUUUCCGCGUUGGCCUGUGUACAAGUCCCUUGGAACAGGGCGUCAUAGAGGGUGAGAAUCCCGUCCUUGACACAGACUACCAAUGCUUUGUGAUGCGAUCUCGAAGAGUCGAGUUGUUUGGGAAUGCAGCUCAAAAUGGGUGGUAAAUUCCAUCUAAAGCUAAAUAUUGGCGAGAGACCGAUAGCGAACAAGUACCGUGAGGGAAAGAUGAAAAGCACUUUGGAAAGAGAGUUAAACAGUACGUGAAAUUGUUAAAAGGGAAACGAUUGAAGUCAGUCAUGCUUUCCGAGACUCAGCCGAUUCUGUCGGUGUACUUCUCGGUUGGCAGGCCAGCAUCAGUUUCGAUCUGUGGAAAAGGUUGGAGGGAACGUGGCAUCCUCGGAUGUGUUAUAGCCCUUCUUCGAAUACAUAGAGCGGGACUGAGGAACGCAGCGCGCCUUUUAUUAGGUUGGCCCUCGGGUACAUACGCGCUUAGGAUGCUGGCAUAAUGGCUUUAAACGACCCGUCUUGAAACACGGACCAAGGAGUCUAACAUGUUUGCGAGUGUUUGGGUGGUAAACCCGAACGCGUAAUUAAAGUGAAUGCAGGUGGGAUCCGCAAGGAGCACCAUCGACCGAUCUGGAUCUUUUGUGAUGGAUUUGAGUAAGAGCACAUAUGUUGGGACCCGAAAGAUGGUGAACUAUGCCUGAAUAGGGCGAAGCCAGAGGAAACUCUGGUGGAGGCUCGUAGCGAUUCUGACGUGCAAAUCGAUCGUCAAAUUUGGGUAUAGGGGCGAAAGACUAAUCGAACCAUCUAGUAGCUGCUCUGGC